GAUGAACGCUGGCGGCGUGCCUAAUACAUGCAAGUCGAGCGAACGGACGAGAAGCUUGCUUCUCUGAUGUUAGCGGCGGACGGGUGAGUAACACGUGGAUAACCUACCUAUAAGACUGGGAUAACUUCGGGAAACCGGAGCUAAUACCGGAUGAUCUUUUGAACCGCAUGGUUCAAAAGUGAAAGACGGUCUUGCUGUCACUUAUAGAUGGAUCCGCGCUGCAUUAGCUAGUUGGUAAGGUAACGGCUUACCAAGGCAACGAUGCAUAGCCGACCUGAGAGGGGGAUCGGCCAAACUGGAACUGAGACACGGUCCAGACUCCUACGGGAGGCAGCAGGAGGGAAUCUUCCGCAAGGGGCGAAAGCCUGACGGAGCAACGCCGCGUGAGUGAUGAAGGUCUUCGGAUCGUAAAACUCUGUUAUUAGGGAAGAACAUAUGUGUAAGUAACUGUGCACAUCUUGACGGUACCUAAUCAGAAAGCCACGGCUAACUACGUG
RNAcentral lists this ribosomal RNA (497 nucleotides) under uncultured bacterium. RNAcentral's name for it is "partial 16S ribosomal RNA". It matches the Rfam family "Bacterial small subunit ribosomal RNA", at positions 28 to 507 of the family's 1533-position model. The record is from RNAcentral.